RNAcentral lists this ribosomal RNA (468 nucleotides) under uncultured bacterium. Its description in RNAcentral is "partial 16S ribosomal RNA". It matches the Rfam family "Bacterial small subunit ribosomal RNA", at positions 28 to 507 of the family's 1533-position model. The record is from RNAcentral.
GACGAACGCUGGCGGCGUGCUUAACACAUGCAAGUCGAACGGAAAGGCCCUGCUUUUGUGAGGUGCUCGAGUGGCGAACGGGUGAGUAACACGUGAGUAACCUGCCCUUGACUUUGGGAUAACUUCAGGAAACUGGGGCUAAUACCGGAUAGGAGCUCCUGCUGCAUGGUGGGGGUUGGAAAGUUUCGGCGGUUGGGGAUGGACUCGCGGCUUAUCAGCUUGUUGGUGGGGUAGUGGCUUACCAAGGCUUUGACGGGUAGCCGGCCUGAGAGGGUGACCGGCCAUAUUGGGACUGAGAUACGGCCCAGACUCCUACGGGAGGCAGCAGUGGGGAAUAUUGCACAAUGGGCGGAAGCCUGAUACAGCAACGCCGCGUGCGGGAUGACGGCCUUCGGGUUGUAAACCGCUUUCGCCUGUGACGAAGCGUGAGUGACGGUAAUGGGUAAAGAAGCACCGGCUAACUACGUG